UACGGGGGGGGCAAGCGUUGUUCGGAAUUACUGGGCGUAAAGGGUGCGUAGGCGGUUCGCUAAGUUAGAUGUGAAAACUCUGGGCUCAACCCAGAGCCUGCAUCUAAAACUGGCGGGCUAGAGUUCUGGAGGGGGUAGCGGAAUUCCUGGUGUAGCGGUGAAAUGCGUAGAUAUCAGGAGGAACACCGGUGGCGAAGGCGGCUACCUGGACAGAAACUGACGCUGAGGCACGAAAGCUAGGGGAGCAAACAGG
This 253-nucleotide ribosomal RNA is filed under the name uncultured bacterium. RNAcentral's name for it is "partial 16S ribosomal RNA". It matches the Rfam family "Bacterial small subunit ribosomal RNA", at positions 524 to 776 of the family's 1533-position model. The record is from RNAcentral.